UACAGGGGGGGCAAGCGUUGUUCGGAAUUACUGGGCGUAAAGGGUUCGUAGGUGGCCACUUAAGUCAGACGUGAAAUCCCUCAGCUUAACUGGGGAACUGCGUCUGAUACUGCGUGGCUUGAGUGCAGGAGAGGAAUGCGGAAUUCCAGGUGUAGCGGUGAAAUGCGUAGAUAUCUGGAGGAACACCGGUGGCGAAGGCGGCAUUCUGGACUGUAACUGACACUGAUGAACGAAAGCCAGGGGAGCAAACGGG
RNAcentral lists this ribosomal RNA (253 nucleotides) under uncultured bacterium. Its description in RNAcentral is "partial 16S ribosomal RNA". It matches the Rfam family "Bacterial small subunit ribosomal RNA", at positions 524 to 776 of the family's 1533-position model. The record is from RNAcentral.